RNAcentral lists this ribosomal RNA (465 nucleotides) under uncultured bacterium. RNAcentral's name for it is "partial 16S ribosomal RNA". It matches the Rfam family "Bacterial small subunit ribosomal RNA", at positions 28 to 507 of the family's 1533-position model. The record is from RNAcentral.
GACGAACGCUGGCGGCGUGCUUAACACAUGCAAGUCGAACGGAAAGGCCCUGCUUGCAGGGUACUCGAGUGGCGAACGGGUGAGUAACACGUGGGUGAUCUGCCCUGCACUUCGGGAUAAGCCUGGGAAACUGGGUCUAAUACCGGAUAGGAGCCAUUUUUAGUGUGAUGGUUGGAAAGUUUUUUCGGUGUAGGAUGAGCUCGCGGCCUAUCAGCUUGUUGGUGGGGUAAUGGCCUACCAAGGCGGCGACGGGUAGCCGGCCUGAGAGGGUGGACGGCCACAUUGAGACUGAGAUACGGCCCAGACUCCUACGGGAGGCAGCAGUGGGGAAGAUUGCACAAUGGGCGUAAGCCUGAUGCAGCGACGCCGCGUGGGGGAUGACGGCCUUCGGGUUGUAAACUCCUUUCGCUAGGGACGAAGCUUUUUGUGACGGUACCUAGAUAAGAAGCACCGGCUAACUACGUG